Molecule: long non-coding RNA, 451 nt
Organism: Lepus europaeus (European hare)
Lineage: Eukaryota; Metazoa; Chordata; Mammalia; Lagomorpha; Leporidae
Exons: 3
Source: RefSeq, a predicted model, not a curated record
GGCUCAGAUCCACAGUUGCAUCAGCCGUCACCUGGAAUGUCUUCAAAGCCGCGAGGUGUGGCUGUAUGAACAGGCAGACCUCAUCUAUCAGCUUAAAGAGGAGACGCUUCAGCAGCAGGCCCAGCAGCUGUAUUGGUUACUGGGCCAGUUCAAUUGUCUCAUUCAUCAGCUGGAGUGCACCCAAAACAAAGAUCUAGCCAAUCAAGUCUCCAUGUGUCUGGAGAGGUGAGGACGCUGUGGCUUGUUUUCCAUGACCUUGAUUUUGAUACGGCAAAACUAUUGCUGGCCUGGAUGCUGUCUGUGGACGUCUUCCAUCCUAUUCCAGAUCCUAACGUGAUAUUUCCCAGAAGGCCCCUCACCUCAAGGUCUCACAGAUGUGAUUUUGUGCAGAUCCUGUUGAAAAACAUCAUUUCCACAAUAAAGUCUGGGGUGAUUGUAUUAUUUAAGAUCU